This is a non-coding RNA of Camelina sativa (false flax), 200 nucleotides long. NCBI's taxonomy places the organism in Eukaryota, Viridiplantae, Streptophyta, Magnoliopsida, Brassicales, Brassicaceae. The record is from RefSeq and is a predicted model, not a curated record.
ACUAUUAUCAACCAUGACAUACACUCCAUUGCACUUCCACAUUUCGCUCGGUGGCAACAAGACUACGGGAAAGUGUUUGUUUACUGGCUAGGGAUAGAGCCGUUCGUGUACGUUGCGGAUCCUGAAUUCUUGAGUGUUAUGUCGAAAGGUGUAUUGGGGAAGAGUUGGGGGAAACCAAAUGUUUUCAAGAAAGACAGAGA